Molecule: long non-coding RNA, 990 nt
Filed under: Chrysolophus pictus (golden pheasant)
Lineage: Eukaryota; Metazoa; Chordata; Aves; Galliformes; Phasianidae
Description: lncRNA (ENSCPIG00010011283.1)
Source: RNAcentral
CUCAAUGUGCUGCCCCAGAGUUUUGGGGUGCUGUGGCUCCUUCUGUGUUAAAGCUGCUUCUCACUCUUCUCUUCCAAGGAGGAAGCAAUUGAGACGAGAGAUUUUAUCCUACGUGAUUACCUUCCUCAUUAUAAGAAUGUCUUUAUGGAAGUAUCGGAGAACACCAUUGAGACUGGGGACUUAGUGCUUUUCAAAAUGCUGUCCAGCAGCAAUGCUAUGCUCUGCUUCAAGCAUGCAGUUGUCUAUUGUGGGGACGGAGAGGUCAUCCACUUCCAGAAGAUCGAAGGUUCAAGUACAGGGCAAAUAAGCAAAGAAGAAUUCCAGAUUAUGAGACAGCAGAGGGGAAAAGGCAAGGUUCUCAGGAAAAAGGACGGGGUCAACCUUGAAACCUUCACUGAGAAAGUCAAGCAGCUGAUGAACAGCACAGCCGAGUACGACUUUUUGAAAAACAACAGCAUCAACUUUGCUUUUUAUCUGCUGGAUCUGGGGAGUUUCAGCUUUCAGUCCCCGAAGAGCCAUGAAGAGGAACUUGAAAGUUUGACUGCACAGCGCAACAUGAUCGUCUGAGAGGUUUCCAGAGUCUCAUUCCCCAGCACACGCCCAGAAGAGCUUCGUCCCCACCAUUCGUUUUUCCACAUGUCUGCUUCCUUCAAAAGAUCUGUAGGCAUUCCUUUCCAUCUUUUUGUGCUGGAUCAUAUCGCAGCAGGAGCUCUGCAUCCCCUGCACAUGGGUGGAAAUAUUAAUCAGCUGCUUUAUUGAUUAUUUGCACCUGAAGACUGCCUGUUUUCACUGCCUUACUUCAAAUGGUCAUAACACUCAGAGUAAUUUCAGAUAGAAUUACUUGUUAAUAAUAGUGCUUAUCUGUGUAUAACAAUUCUUAUCAGCAACUUCUUGUACUACUAAUAUCCACAGCCAAAUAACAAUAUCCAAGGUAAUGGUAUCUUAAGUAAUUAUAAUAAAAAAAAUUAAUCCUUCUUAUACUAUUAAAUC